GAGUUUGAUCUUGGCUCAGAACGAACGCUGGCGGCAUGCCUAACACAUGCAAGUCGAACGAGACCUUCGGGUCUAGUGGCGCACGGGUGCGUAACGCGUGGGAAUCUGCCCUCUGGUUCGGAAUAACUCAGGGAAACUUGAGCUAAUACCGAUAAUGACUUCGGUCCAAAGAUUUAUCGCCUGAGGAUGAGCCCGCGUCGGAUUAGCUUGUUGGUGAGGUAAAAGCUCACCAAGGCGACGAUCCGUAGCUGGUCUGAGAGGAU
Molecule: ribosomal RNA, 263 nt
Filed under: uncultured Alphaproteobacteria bacterium
Lineage: Bacteria; Pseudomonadati; Pseudomonadota; Alphaproteobacteria
Description: partial 16S ribosomal RNA
Rfam family: Bacterial small subunit ribosomal RNA
Source: RNAcentral